This 2049-nucleotide ribosomal RNA is filed under the name Triticum aestivum (bread wheat). Its description in RNAcentral is "partial small subunit ribosomal RNA". Lineage: Eukaryota; Viridiplantae; Streptophyta; Magnoliopsida; Poales; Poaceae. The record is from RNAcentral.
AUGACGAUGGUGGUCAUGCUACGCCGCCUUGCUCUUUCCUGCUACCUCGCCGCCGCCCUUCUCCUCCUCGUGUUCCUCGACGCGCCGCUCACGGCCGCGCAGCCGCUGCCGUGGCAGCUGUGCAACGCCACCGCGGGGAACUACACGGAGGGCAGCGACUACCAGGCCAACAUACGCGUCCUCGCCAGCGCCUUCCCCAAGAACGCCUCCGCGUCCCCGGCCCUCUUCGCCAAGGGCUCUGUCGGCACGGCGCCGGACGUCGUCUACGCGCUUGCCCUCUGCCGCGGCGACACCAACGCCUCCUCCUGCGCGGCAUGCGUCACCACCGCCUUCCGGAACGCGCAGCAGCUCUGCGCCUUAAACAAGCGUGCCACCAUGUUCGACGACCCCUGCACCCUCCGCUACUCCGACCAGGACUUCCUGGCCAACGUCACCGACAACAGGGGGAGGUCGGGCGCAUUCAAUCCCAACAACGUCAGUGCGGCGUCCGCGGCGGCCUUCGACGCUGCCUCCGGCCGGCUCGUCAACGACACCGCCGACUACGCGGCGGCGGACUCAAGCCGGCGAUUCGGCACGGGGGAGGUGGGGUUCGACCAGACUUACCCCAAGAUUUACUCCCUGGCGCAGUGCACGCCGGACAUGUCGGCGGCUCAAUGCCGGAGCUGCCUCAGGGACAUCAUUGUCCAGUAUACUCCUCGAUAUUUCCUCGGAAAGCCGGGCGGGAGAAUAUUGGGCGUGCGGUGCAGCUUCCGGUUCGAGACGUACUCAUUCUUCGCUGGACGCCCACUGCUGCAACUCCCGGGCGCGCUGUCUCCUGCACCGGCGCCAGAGGCCACCACAGGAGAAGGCAAAAGAAGACAUAGGACAGGAUUGGUCUUGGCCAUUACACUGCCUACCGCUGCUGCACUAGUAUUUCUGAUUUCAGCGUGCGUUUGCUUUUGGAGGAGGAGCAAACUGGCAGCAGAAAGAAGAAAGCCGGCAGUACCAUUUGCAACAGAUUCAACUAAUCAGGAUGACAUCCAAAGCAUCGAUUGCCUCCUUCUUGACUUAUCGACCCUGCGGGCUGCUACAAAUAACUUCGCUGAAAGCAACAAGCUUGGCGAAGGAGGGUUCGGUGCGGUUUACAAGGGUGUCCUUUCUGAAGGUGGCCAGGAAAUAGCAGUGAAGAGGCUCUCGCAGAGCUCCAUGCAAGGAAUAGAAGAGCUGAAAACGGAGCUAGUUCUAGUCGCCAAGCUUCAGCACAAGAAUCUCGUCAGGCUCGUUGGUGUUUGCUUGGAGGAAACGGAGAAACUACUCGUGUAUGAAUACAUGCCGAACCGGAGCCUCGACACUGUUCUCUUCGAUGCCGAGAAUAGGGGAGACCUGGACUGGGGGAAGAGGCUGAAGAUCGUGAACGGGGUUGCUCGGGGCUUGCAGUACCUUCACGAAGACUCACAGCCAAGGAUCAUCCACCGGGACCUCAAAGCGAGCAACGUGCUGCUGGACUCGGAUUGGAACCCUAAAAUUUCAGACUUCGGUUUGGCGAAACUGUUCGGUUGGGACCAGUCGCAGGCCGUCACCAGCCACAUCGCUGGAACAUAUGGAUACAUGUCGCCGGAGUACGCGAUGCGCGGGCAGUAUUCGGUCAAGUCGGACGCCUACAGUUUCGGCGUUCUGGUCUUGGAGAUUAUCACGGGAAGGAAGAAUAGCAGCUUUGCCAACUCGGAGCAAUCCAUUGACCUCUCAAGCCUCGUAUGGGAGCACUGGACCAAGGGAACGGUCGAGGAGCUGCUGGAUCCGUCCUUGGGAGGCCGUUCUCCGGGAGACCAUUUGCUGAAGCUGAUUAAUAUUGGGCUGCUGUGUGUCCAAGACAACCCGGCGGACAGGCCGACCAUGUCGACAGUCAACGUCAUGCUCAGCAGCAACACAGUAUCUCUUCAGGCGCCGUCCAGGCCAACAUUCUGCAUCGACGAGAUGGAGGGUUUCUCGGGCAUGUACUCUACCGAGGGUAGCAAGCCCGAGGGGGUGUCAGUGAACGAGGUGUCACUCACGGAGCUCGAACCUAGAUGA